AGACCGCCCAUUUCAGUGGGCCUCUGUGUUUGGAGAGAUGAACUUCUAAAGACUGGAACACUUCCUCCUGUCCGGCCAGAAGAGAUUUCCUGACACCACAGCUGGAAACCCGUGUGCAUUUCAGUUCAGGAAAGAAUGCGCGGUUUUCCCUAUAUCCGGAACUCGCCCCUGCGCAUUCCAAUACCUGAAGCGACCACAGGGUACGGGACAUGGAGCCCUGCGACAGUAAGAGUCGCGGCGCUAGACAAAGCCUGAUAUCACUCCGCUUCCAGAAGCCGGAUCCCCAUAAACUACGCUCUAGCUCCUCCCACUGCCGAUGUGGGUAACCCGGACGAGGAAGAACCUCGUCUGCGGAGGAAAAGGUAGAUGUUAAAUGGUAACUACGCUCGAGGUUCUGAGGAGCCCUGGGAACAGGAAGAAGAAAAUAAUACCAAAAUUGACAACAGUUUGCCAAUCGCAGUCUUUAAUCUGAUAAAGCGGUUAUCUCGUCUUGAGUCCCAGGUGCCGGGUCAGUCUCCAUACACAGCCGCCGCCAUUGCCUCGAGUCCUUGUGUCUGACUGUCUGUUCCUGCUGCUGUAUGACACAGCACCUCGAGGCAAGGAAACAAGAAAACUGCCUCUGAUCCAAGCAGAGAAGGUAGAUCUGUCCCCAGGUCUGUGGAACUGUCAGUUGUGAAGUUUUGUAAAAUGAUCACCCAACUUAAAACUAGGAAAUUACGAAGAAGAGAAAAUUGCCCUGUAUCUGUUAAGGUUGGUGUAAAGGUACAGGGACGGGAGCAACUUCGACUAGAGAAUUCCAUCUCUUCUGUUUUGUCAUUUUACCAGUUAUGCCCAUCUGCCCCACCCCCUGCUGCUGCUGAUAUAGUUGGGAGUCUUGGUCUUCCUGUAGAUCUGCUGUAG
RNAcentral lists this long non-coding RNA (900 nucleotides) under Piliocolobus tephrosceles (Ugandan red Colobus). RNAcentral's name for it is "lncRNA (ENSPTEG00000024321.1)". Lineage: Eukaryota; Metazoa; Chordata; Mammalia; Primates; Cercopithecidae. The record is from RNAcentral.